Molecule: long non-coding RNA, 842 nt
Organism: Jaculus jaculus (lesser Egyptian jerboa)
Lineage: Eukaryota; Metazoa; Chordata; Mammalia; Rodentia; Dipodidae
Exons: 3
Source: RefSeq, a predicted model, not a curated record
GGCUCAAGCAUGAAUGAUUUGGUGGUGGACUUGGUCUGAGCACAGUAGUCCACAGCAACUGUGCUUACUGGUUGUGGGGAACUACUCUCCAUGACUUCAGGGAUCAGUCCCAUCUACAGGAGCCCCUGAUAGGGGGCUCACCUGAGAGAGGAUGCAGGCAUCCCCUUGAAUGUGGCCCCAGAGUACUGACAACCACAGACAGCUGUCUGUGUUGUGGGAAGGGCCAGCUUUUGGAGACAACAUUGGUAGAAGACAAAUUUACAAGAAGUGGACCUUCAGGAAGGCUGCAGAAUGAGAGGCAAAGCCAGCACCAUGCCAACUAACCCUUCCCUGCAAGCAGUCCUCUGUGGUCGUUUUCCGGGCUGCUGCCUCAGAACUUCAUGGAGCAUACCGCCUCACUGCAUCUCUGACCCACACUAAUGGGGCAUCUCUGUCUCCACUCACCACUGCUGGGCUGAGAUAUCUCCUGCACUUCUGAUGCCAAGUUCAGGAGAGGUACUUCCCAUGGGCUAGGAACUUGGGUUUCUCUUGGUUUUUCCCAGAAUGAAGCAGGCUUGGCCCCUCUCUUCUGUGUCUCAGUAAUUACAGGGUUGAGUGUUUCCUAAGGGGAGGGCCAUGUUGAUUCUGGGAAGAGUAAAAGCACUCACAGGCGAAUACCACUUAUGUGCAUCUGUGUUUGUGUGUAUGUUUAUAUGUAAAAUUUCCUGCAUCAACUUGGAAACACUUCUUUUUGUAUUGUCUAUAAAGUUAAGAUAAGGGCUAGAGAGAUGUCUCAACAGUUAAGGCACUUGCCUAUGAAGCCAAACGACCCAGGUUCAAUUCCCUUGGACCCAUGUAAGUCA